GUUGAACGCUGGCGGCAUGCUUUACACAUGCAAGUCGAACGGUAACAGGGUGCUUGCACCGCUGACGAGUGGCGAACGGGUGAGUAAUGCGUCGGAACGUGCCGAGUAGUGGGGGAUAACGCAGCGAAAGUUGUGCUAAUACCGCAUACGGACUGAGGUAGAAAGUGGGGGACCGUCGGGCCUCACGCUAUUCGAGCGGCCGACGUCGGAUUAGCUAGUAGGUGAGGUAAAGGCUCACCUAGGCGACGAUCAGUAGCGGGUCUGAGAGGAUGAUCCGCCACACUGGGACUGAGACACGGCCCAGACUCCUACGGGAGGCAGCAGUGGGGAAUUUUGGACAAUGGGCGAAAGCCUGAUCCAGCCAUGCCGCGUGUCUGAAGAAGGCCUUCGGGUUGUAAAGGACUUUUGUCAGGGAGGAAAUCCCUAGUGCUAAUAACACUGGGGGAUGACAGUACCUGAAGAAUAAGCACCGGCUAACUACGUGCCAGCCGCCGCCGUAA
Molecule: ribosomal RNA, 500 nt
Filed under: uncultured bacterium
Lineage: Bacteria
Description: partial 16S ribosomal RNA
Rfam family: Bacterial small subunit ribosomal RNA
Source: RNAcentral